Molecule: ribosomal RNA, 320 nt
Filed under: uncultured eukaryote
Lineage: Eukaryota
Description: partial 18S ribosomal RNA
Rfam family: Eukaryotic small subunit ribosomal RNA
Source: RNAcentral
CCCCUAGAUGUUCUGGGCCGCACGCGCGCUACACUGAACAGUUCAACAAGUCUUAACCUUGGCCGAUAGGUCUGGGUAAUCUUUGAACGCUGUUCGUGAUUGGGAUAGACCUUUGCAAUUAUGGGUCUUCAACGAGGAGUUCCUAGUAAACGCAAGUCAUCAGCUUGCAUUGAUUACGUCCCUGCCCUUUGUACACACCGCCCGUCGCACCUACCGAUUGAAUGGUCCGGUGAAAUCUCGGGACGGCGGCUUGGUCGCUUGCGUCCGACUGCUGAAACUUGAUUAAACCAUAUCAUUUAGAGGAAGGUGAANUCGUANCA